UACUACUUACAGAUCGAUAGUGAACAAGUACCGUGAGGGAAAGGUGAAAAGUACUCCAGCGAGGAGAGUGAAAUAGAACCUGAAACCAUUAGCUUACAAUCAUUCAGAGCCCUAUGAUUUAUCAGGGUGAUGGACUGCCUUUUGCAUAAUGAGCCUGCGAGUUGUGGUGUCUGGCAAGGUUAAGUCAAGUACGAAGCCGUAGCGAAAGCGAGUCUUAAUAGGGCGAAUUAGUCAGAUGCUGCAGACCCGAAACGAAGUGAUCUAUCCAUGAGCAGGUUGAAGCUGGUGUAAGAGCCAGUGGAGGACCGAACCGAUAGGCGUUGAAAAGUCUCCGGAUGACUUGUGGAUAGGGGUGAAAGGCCAAUCAAACUUCGUGAUAGCUGGUUCUCUCCGAAAUAUAUUUAGGUAUAGCCUUGUGUUGUAGCAUAUAGGGGUAGAGCACUGAAUGGGCUAGGGCUGCUUACCGCGGUACCAAACCCUAUCAAACUAUGAAUACUAUAUGUGGAAUCACAGGAGUCAGGCGAUGGGUGAUAAAAUCCACCGUCGAGAGGGGAACAACCCAGACUAACAGCUAAGGUCCCUAAGUCACAUCUAAGUGGAAAACGAUGUGGAGUUACUGUGACAACCAGGAGGUUGGCUUAGAAGCAGCCAUCCUUUAAAGAAAGCGUAACAGCUCACUGGUCUAGAUAAGGACUUCUGCGGCGAAGAUGUAACGGGGCUCAAGACACGUACCGAAGCUUUGGGUGUGCAUUUAUGCACGCGGUAGCGGAGCGUUCCGUAAGCCUGUGAAGCGGUCUGGUAAUGGGCCGUGGAGGUAUCGGAAGUGCGAAUGUUGACAUGAGUAGCGAUAAACAGUGUGAGAUGCACUGUCGCCGAAAGCCUAAGGGUUCCUACGCAAGGCUAAUCCGCGUAGGGUGAGCCGGUCCCUAACACGAGCCCGAAGGGGGUAGUGGAUGGAAAUACGGUUAAUAUUCCGUAGCCUGGAGAUGUGUGACGGAUUCCUUAUAUUGUCUGGUCUUAUUGGAUUGAUCAGGCUUUGACGGGGUCCCAGGAAAUAGCCUCUCCGUAUAGACCGUACCCGAAACCGACACAGGUAGGCUGGUAGAGUAUACCAAGGCGCUUGAGAGAAGGGUGUUGAAGGAACUCGGCAAAUUGCCUCCGUACCUUCGGAAGAAGGAGGCCCGAUAUAAGCGCAAGCUCUUAUCGGGGGCACAGGCCAGGGGGUAGCGACUGUUUAACAAAAACACAGGGCUCUGCUAAGUCGGCUUCAAGACGACGUAUAGGGUCUGACGCCUGCCCGGUGCCUGAAGGUUAAGUGGAGGGGUGCAAGCUCCGAAAUGAAGCCCAGGUAAACGGCGGCCGUAACUAUAACGGUCCUAAGGUAGCGAAAUUCCUUGUCGGG
RNAcentral lists this ribosomal RNA (1402 nucleotides) under activated sludge metagenome. RNAcentral's name for it is "bacterial LSU rRNA". It matches the Rfam family "Bacterial large subunit ribosomal RNA", at positions 471 to 1976 of the family's 2925-position model. The record is from RNAcentral.